Molecule: ribosomal RNA, 212 nt
Filed under: uncultured bacterium
Lineage: Bacteria
Description: partial 16S ribosomal RNA
Rfam family: Bacterial small subunit ribosomal RNA
Source: RNAcentral
CAGUUCGGAUUGCAGUCUGCAACUCGACUGCAUGAAGCUGGAAUCGCUAGUAAUCGCGGAUCAGAAUGCCGCGGUGAAUACGUUCCCGGGUCUUGUACACACCGCCCGUCACACCAUGGGAGUCAGUAACGCCCGAAGUCAGUGACCGAACCGAGAGGACGGAGCUGCCGAAGGCGGGACGGAUAACUGGGGUGAAGUCGUAACAAGGUACC